Molecule: ribosomal RNA, 561 nt
Filed under: uncultured bacterium
Lineage: Bacteria
Description: bacterial SSU rRNA
Rfam family: Bacterial small subunit ribosomal RNA
Source: RNAcentral
CCUACGGGAGGCAGCAGUGGGGAAUAUUGGACAAUGGGCGAAAGCCUGAUCCAGCAAUGCCGCGUGAGUGAUGAGGGCCUUAGGGUUGUAAAGCUCUUUUACCCGGGAUGAUAAUGACAGUACCGGGAGAAUAAGCUCCGGCUAACUCCGUGCCAGCAGCCGCGGUAAUACGGAGGGAGCUAGCGUUGUUCGGAAUUACUGGGCGUAAAGCGUACGUAGGCGGUUAUUCAAGUCAGAGGUGAAAGCCUGGGGCUCAACUCCAGAACUGCCUUUGAAACUAGAUAGCUAGAAUCAUGGAGAGGUCAGUGGAAUUCCGAGUGUAGAGGUGAAAUUCGUAGAUAUUCGGAAGAACACCAGUGGCGAAGGCGACUGACUGGACAUGUAUUGACGCUGAGGUACGAAAGCGUGGGGAGCAAACAGGAUUAGAUACCCUGGUAGUCCACGCCGUAAACGAUGAUAACUAGCUGUUCGGACCUUUAAGGUUUGAGUGGCGCAGCUAACGCAUUAAGUUAUCCGCCUGGGGAGUACGGUCGCAAGAUUAAAACUCAAAGGAAUUGACGG